Tinamus guttatus (white-throated tinamou) is the source of this 142-nucleotide non-coding RNA. NCBI's taxonomy places the organism in Eukaryota, Metazoa, Chordata, Aves, Tinamiformes, Tinamidae. The record is from RefSeq and is a predicted model, not a curated record.
UUGAGUGGUUAAUUUGAUUGUUUUCAUUUUAGCUAUGCAAGAGAAUCCAACAAAUUAAUAGACCUUCCAGAUGACUACAGCUGUCUCAUUAAUCAAGCAUCUAAUUUCUCGUGUCCGAAAUCAGGUGGUGAUAAAAGCAGAG